AUAAUUCAUGGACUUGCAAAUCUGAACUACAAAUUAGAUGUGAUAGGUUUAGGUUAUCCAACAAAUAUUAGUUUGGCUGCAUACCCCAAAAGCAUAAUUAAAUGGAAUACAGAAUUAAGCUACUCCAUCCUUUGAAAAGAACCAAAAACAAAAUCAUCCACAACUAAACAUUAACAUGCACAAGCAAAGCAUUAUGCCUUUACCAUAUUCACUACAAGUUUUUCUAGUAUAACUAUCUACCAACGUCGCUAAUAACAAAAAUAAGAACCACCCAUCAUCCACCAUCAUCAUCAAUUAGGUCUUUGAUCACCUCCUUGCAGCCAAUACCAUCCACCAAACAACAAUACACAUCUUCUAAGCACGUUCACCUCGGAUUCUCCGAGCCAACUGGAUAUCUUUAGGCAUUAUAGUAACGCGCUUUGCAUGAAUGGCACAGAGAUUGGUGUCCUCGAACAACCCAACAAGGUAGGCCUCGGCUGCCUCUUGCAAUGCCAGAACAGCAUGGCUCUGGAAACGCAGAUCAGUCUUAAAGUCCUGGGCAAUUUCACGAACCAACCUCUGGAAGGGCAACUUCCUAAUCAAAAGCUCAGUACUCUUUUGAUACUUACGGAUUUCACUGCAUGAAUAAAAAUGGAAUGAAGCAGUUAAUAACUUUUACUCAAACCGGUAU
Molecule: unclassified non-coding RNA, 670 nt
Filed under: Hevea brasiliensis (rubber tree)
Lineage: Eukaryota; Viridiplantae; Streptophyta; Magnoliopsida; Malpighiales; Euphorbiaceae
Source: RNAcentral